AACGAACGCUGGCGGCAGGCCUAAUACAUGCAAGUCGAGCGCUCUAGCAAUAGAGAGCGGCGCACGGGUGCGUAACGCGUGGGAAUGUACCUCUAGGUGCGGAACAACGUCGGGAAACUGACGCUAAUACCGCAUAAUAUCUCCGGAUCAAAGAUUUAUCGCCUAGGGAUCAGCCCGCGUUGGAUUAGCUAGUUGGUGAGGUAAUGGCUCACCAAGGCGACGAUCCAUAGCUGGUCUGAGAGGAUGAUCAGCCACACUGGGACUGAGACACGGCCCAGACUCCUACGGGAGGCAGCAGUAAGGAUAUUGGACAAUGGAGGAAACUCUGAUCCAGCCAUGCCGCGU
This 345-nucleotide ribosomal RNA is filed under the name uncultured bacterium. RNAcentral's name for it is "bacterial SSU rRNA". It matches the Rfam family "Bacterial small subunit ribosomal RNA", at positions 29 to 402 of the family's 1533-position model. The record is from RNAcentral.